GAUGAACGCUAGCGGCAGGCCUAAUACAUGCAAGUCGAACGAUAUUAUCCAGCUUGCUGGAUAUGAAAGUGGCGCACGGGUGCGUAACGCGUAUGCAACCUACCUUAUUCAGGGGGAUAGCCCGAAGAAAUUCGGAUUAACACCGCAUAAAAUCGCAGUUCAGCAUUGGACAAUGAUCAAAUAUUUAUAGGAAUAAGAUGGGCAUGCGUGUCAUUAGCCAGUUGGCGGGGUAACGGCCCACCAAGGCGACGAUGACUAGGGGAUCUGAGAGGAUGGCCCCCCACACUGGUACUGAGACACGGACCAGACUCCUACGGGAGGCAGCAGUAAGGAAUAUUGGUCAAUGGAGGGAACUCUGAACCAGCCAUGCCGCGUGCAGGAAGACGGCCCUCUGGGUUGUAAACUGCUUUUAUUCGGGAAUAAACCUAUUUACGUGUAAAUAGCUGAAUGUACCGAAGGAAUAAGGAUCGGCUAACUCCGUGCCAGCAGCCGCAGUAA
Molecule: ribosomal RNA, 498 nt
Filed under: uncultured bacterium
Lineage: Bacteria
Description: partial 16S ribosomal RNA
Rfam family: Bacterial small subunit ribosomal RNA
Source: RNAcentral